CCAUAUCCCUUCUCUGCCCAGUUCUUGGGGCAGUGAUGGUGUCAGGCCGUUUGUGGGUCCCCCUGGUGCCCUGUCUGCCCCUCCACAAGACCUGGGAACUGCGGGAGGACAUGGGGACAGCCCAGGGGCAGGCUGGGGUUCCUGUGUGCUCGGGAAUGCCCCUCAGUUCCGCAUGGCCUUGUCUGUACACGGUGUGUGUGACCUUGUGCCCGACGGUCUGGAGGGACCAUUGAGUGGGCCAUUGCCUGUCCAGGCCUCUCCUGUGCUCCAGAAUGUUACGAGGGAUACCUCUCCAAAGGGGUGGGUGGGGGCGCCGCGUUCACAGUCAGCACCCUGGACAGCCCAUCCCCCAGCUGCUGGUGCAUCCCAUAGCAGGGCCAGGUCCCCCGGGAAGUGGGGGCAUCUCUGUAGAGCUGGCAGACCCCUGCCCACCCUGGGGCUGUGCCCCAAGCCCAGUGCUCCCAGUGAGGACAGAUUCUCUUAAUUAGGGAUGUCCCCUGGCACUUCUGCCACGGAGCUGGCCUCUGGUCCUGCACACUCCAGACACAUCCACCCUGGCUCACACACACCCCGGCUCACAUGCACCCCGGAUCCCACCCCCGCUGACACUCACCCCGGUUCCCAUGCACCCCAGGCUCACAUGCACUCCCGGCUCACACGCACCCCUGCUCACACGCACUCCGGCCCACACGCACCCCUGCUCACACGCACUUCGGCCCACACGCACCCCGCUCACACACCCCGCUCACCCAGUUCCCACGCACCCCAGGCUCCCACGGACCCCCGCUCACAUGCACCCCGGUUCCCACGCACCCCAGGCUCCCAUGCACCCGGCUCACAUUCACGCCCGCUCACACGCACCCCAGCUCACACGCACCCUCACUCAUGCACCCUGGGCCCACACGCACCCCAGCUCCCAUGUACCCCUGCUCACAUGCACCCCAGCUCCCAUGCAUCCCGGGCUCACAUACACCUUGACUCACACGUCUCAGGCUCAUGCAUCGGCCCCCUGGUGCGUCUCCAGGCCGCCCUCCACCGGGCUGUGC
RNAcentral lists this long non-coding RNA (1046 nucleotides) under Pan troglodytes (chimpanzee). RNAcentral's name for it is "long non-coding RNA NONPTRT002481". Lineage: Eukaryota; Metazoa; Chordata; Mammalia; Primates; Hominidae. The record is from RNAcentral.